RNAcentral lists this long non-coding RNA (287 nucleotides) under Brassica rapa (field mustard). RNAcentral's name for it is "long non-coding RNA (BRAP_LNC006283)". Lineage: Eukaryota; Viridiplantae; Streptophyta; Magnoliopsida; Brassicales; Brassicaceae. The record is from RNAcentral.
AGGCAAUGGAAUAACCAUAAGCAGAAGCAGAGGCUAGCUGCGAUCCAGAGAGCUGCUAGAAGAUUAGGAGGGGAUGCGAACGGGGAUUCAUACAGUGCAGCUUUAAAUAGAAGAUUAGUUCAAAGUUGAUUUCUUUUUUUUUUUUUUUUUUACCAAUGAACAAGCUGAGUUGGCGUAUGGAAAGAUGUUUAGUUGCAAAAGCCAUGAGCUAACUGUUUUUGCCAAAUGAUAGAUGUAUUGUGUUUGAAAUGUGGUACCUUGAUGAUAAUGCAAAAAGGUUUGUACAC